CAUGCUCGUAUAAUGAUAUUCGAUGUUGUAUUCACAUUUGAGAAACCAACUAACUUGUAACUACAGACAAAUAAGUCAAGCAUUGUUUGUAAGGGGAAUUUUUAGUGGUGGAUUUUCGAUUUCAUAUUAAUGUGUUUAGGUUGUUGAGUGUAUCUUGAGAUAUUUAACAAAGGACAAGUGAUUUCAUCAUAAGCUCCAAUUUAAUGAAUUAAUGUUGAAAUGCCAAGCUUGUGGGUAAAGGAG
Molecule: unclassified non-coding RNA, 243 nt
Filed under: Hevea brasiliensis (rubber tree)
Lineage: Eukaryota; Viridiplantae; Streptophyta; Magnoliopsida; Malpighiales; Euphorbiaceae
Source: RNAcentral